UAAAGUCUGUCUAAAGGCAAUUCUGAGAUUUUUUUUCCAAAUACAUAAAAUAUGUUGGAAAAUAGUUGCUGAAAACAUGUGAAAAGACUUUGAAGAUAUAUUACUAAAAUGUGCAGUUAGAGGUUCAAACAGUUUUUCACCAGUUUUC
Long non-coding RNA from Larimichthys crocea (large yellow croaker), 148 nucleotides. RefSeq lists it as uncharacterized. NCBI's taxonomy places the organism in Eukaryota, Metazoa, Chordata, Actinopteri, Sciaenidae. The record is from RefSeq and is a predicted model, not a curated record. The transcript is spliced from 3 exons.